This 224-nucleotide long non-coding RNA is filed under the name Gossypium raimondii (Peruvian cotton). Its description in RNAcentral is "long non-coding RNA (GRAI_LNC005698)". Lineage: Eukaryota; Viridiplantae; Streptophyta; Magnoliopsida; Malvales; Malvaceae. The record is from RNAcentral.
UUACUCACGUCUCCUUCGAUUCUCCUCUUGCUUCUCGGAUUCGUAAUCUUCUUAACACCAAAAAAGAAGCUAAACAACAAACUGUUCUAGCCUCAGCCCCCACAAGUUUUAGCCUCAGCCUCAGCCCCAGCCCCAGCCCCAGCCCCAGCCCCAGCAGUAGUAUUACUACUAGCAGCGGUAGUUGUAAUAGCGGCGGAGGCCUAAGCAAUGAGAAUUCUUCUCCU